This 253-nucleotide ribosomal RNA is filed under the name uncultured bacterium. RNAcentral's name for it is "partial 16S ribosomal RNA". It matches the Rfam family "Bacterial small subunit ribosomal RNA", at positions 524 to 776 of the family's 1533-position model. The record is from RNAcentral.
UACGAAGGGGGCUAGCGUUGUUCGGAAUUACUGGGCGUAAAGGGCGCGUAGGCGGUACUUCAAGUCAGGCGUGAAAGCCCCGGGCUCAACCUGGGAACCGCGCUUGAGACUGGAGAACUAGAGUUCGGGAGAGGAUGGUGGAAUUCCCAGUGUAGAGGUGAAAUUCGUAGAUGUUGGGAAGAACACCGAUGGCGAAGGCAGCCAUCUGGACCGACACUGACGCUGAGGCGCGAAAGCGUGGGGAGCAAACAGG